GGUGAAGUCAACUGGGUAACGGGCGGGUCAGGGCAGUGGGCCGGGGCGAGACGAAGCAGGUGCGGAGUCUCGCGCGCUGAGAGUCCAGGGCUGAAGCAGCGCCAAGGCGGCGCAGGCUGGGGAAGGGACGAGAGCACAGUGCACGUGCUGGGUUGCCCCACGACGGGCGCCUCCGGGUGGUUCGCAUGAGGGGUUUACAGAACCCUGCGCGCGUGCCUCUGGAAGUUCUCUAACCCCAUACACCCUGGAAGGGGGCAGCCAUUGAAUCCCCUCAGGCUCCCUGCCGCCUGCGUCUACAUCCGCUCAGGGAGAACCUGACGCGCGAGGGAGCGGAGGUCCGGAGGAAGCGACCACAGAGGAGGCGACGCGAGGGUGAAGGACCUGGGGAACGAGCGAAGGGUGUCCAGGCGGAGCUCAGUGCACUAGGCGCAGAGAGGGAAAGGAUGGUGUUUUCGAGAGGGGAGAGCAAGCGGCGCACUGGGCUGCAGAGAAUAGCGGGAGCAGGCUGGGUUUCGGGUAGUGGGCUCUCGGCGGGGAAAGGACUGAGACCAAGUCGGCCUGUACCUUGAAGGCACCCGUAGGGUCCUUCUUUUGUAGCAAAGCGCCUCGGCUCCGCCCCCGCACGUGCCCCGGCCCGCCCCGCCCCAGCGGAGCCAGCCCACGAGGCCCCGGCCACGGCCCUGCCCGCGGCGGCUGCACGCGGAGCGGUUGUGGGCCGUUGGGAGGCGGCGCCGGCCGUGAAGCGCGCACCCUGAACAGCGGAGCGGCGGUCUGAGUGAGUUGAACUUACACUCCUUUUAGAAGAAUGGCUUUGUUGGAGUUCAGAAAGCUUAUGAUUCUUCUCUGGAAGAGUUUUACUUUAAAGGGAAGGUUGGACCUUUCAGUUAUACUGCUUUUCCUGUCAGUCAUGUACCUUCAUUCAUCAGAGCACCCAUCGCUUUUCCUUAUCCUUGGGAAUUGGCUUACGUGCCUUCCAAAAGUGUUGUGGUACAGAAUAUUGUUGAAAACGUGAAAAAGGACUUAAACACCAAUAUGCAAGUCGUAGGCUUUUCUUCAGAAAGAGAUUUUGACAAUUACGUUAAGCCAGAUUAAUUACUCUAAAAAGGUUCUGGCUGCUAUUGUUUUUGACCAUGACUUCCAAAAUAGCAAUGAUCCUCUGCCACUUAAGGUAUCAAACUCAGGACCUUGGCUUGCCACGCAGGCGCUGACACCACUGAGCUAAAUCCCCGGUCCAUUAAUUGUCUUUUAUUUGACACCAUCAAUGGAUUGGUAUAUGUGCUGCCGAAGUGAGCACAAGCAUUAAUGGAUUGGAAAGGCAAGCUACAGCAUGGGAGAAGACAUUGGACAAACAAGAAUGCAAUAGAAUAACAGCCACAGGCAAAAAUGGUCACAACAUAAAAAAGGGUAUAGAAAUACAUAUUUUUAAAAGUUUCUAACUUUAUGAAAAUUUAUCAAGAUAAUGAGCACUUAAAAACUGGCAUAAAGGUGCAUCUCUGUAAUACCAGCACUCUGGGAGGUGGAAGCAGGAGAAUCUCAUGUUCGAUCCCAGCCUGGACAACUUAAUGACUUAGUGAAACCCUAUAUAAAAAAAAAGGAUUAGGGAUAUAACUCAAUGCAAAGGCCCUAGGUUCAGUCUCUAGUACCAUAAAACAAAAACAGAAAACUCACAAUGAGAUAAUAUAUAUCUGCCAGGAUUACAAAUAUUAGAAAAUGAAAAUAGUAAAUAUUGACAAUGAUGUGGAACAACAUUAGCUUUUGGAAAACAGUUUUAUAUUCUCAAGUGAAAUAACCUGUGACCAAGUUAUCCCACUCCUUUUUUUUUUUUUCCUCCUAAUGAUGCCAAAAAGUUUACUUGAAAAGUGCGGGGUACACAGGUAUGAGAGAAACCAGCUCUGCAGAGUGAACUUGGCCAAACAAAGAAAAAAAGGGUAAAAGCAAAAAUAAAAGUACAUGCUAUGUUCAGACACAGCGCAGGCUACCAUGCAAACUCACACAUGAUACCCCUAGCCCUUGUUCUGUACCCAAUAGAAUCAUUUGUACAAAAAGUAUAAAUGAGAAAAAUCAUCAGAAUCAUUUAUCGUAGUUAUAAGAUGAAAUGUGUCCCCACAAAAUUCUUAUGUUGAAGCCCUAACCUCUGAUGUCUUAGAAUAUGACUAUAUUUGAAGGUAGAGACUUUAAAGAGGUGACUAAGUUAAAAUGAGGUCAGUAGUGUAGAUACUAAUCCAAUCUGACUGGCCUCCUUAAAAGAAAAGGAAAUUUGAACACACAAAGAGACAGAAAGGUUGCACAUGCACAGCAGGAAGACUGCACGUCGAUAUGGGGAGAAGGAGGUCAUCUGCAAACCAAGAAGAGAGGCCUCAGGGGACACCAGUCUUCCAACACCUGGAUCUUGGACUUCUAGCAUCCAGAACUGUGAAAAAAAAAUGAAUUUCUGUUGUGCAAGCUGCCAAGUCUGCUACUUUUUUAUGCCAGUUUGAGAAUAGUAAAAUUGAUAAAUUUUAAUGUAAUCAGGAUGAAAUUAUAUUGCAACAAUAAAAAUUAAACUAGGACUGUAAUCAACAUGAAUGAAUCUUAACACACUUAAUAUUGAGUGAAAGAAGCCAGAUACAAAGGGAUACAUAUUGUAUAAUUCAUAAAAACCUCAAAGUACAGCAAUACUAAAUUUUAACAGGGAUUCUGGCCUAUGUGAUCAUACUGUUAGGAAACAUAAAGAAAAGAAUAUAGUUACUUAUGAUAAAAGUCAGAAUAGUGGUUACACUUACAUGGGGUUGUAGGAGUGUAUUAUGAUAGUAUUCGUUGCGUGCUGGCAUUGUGGUAAUGGUCCAGAGUGUUGCUUUGUAAUAAUUUAUUGUGAUCAUUCAUUUGUGUUAUGUGUACUUUUAUAAAUGUUUUAUAUAUCAUAAUGAGGUUUAAAAUACUUGAAAUUUUUGUUUGCAUCUUAAUUUAUACAUUAAUUUGGCUAGAAUCUAUUCACAGUUUAUGGUUUUAAGUCUAAGAAGAAUACAUUUUGCUUAUUUAUCCAAUGAGGAAUUGGCUUUUCCUUGAAAAUGGAUGAUGAUUUGCAGUUUUGAAGAACUAUAUGUCUUUAAACCCAUGAAUUCCUAGGUCACCCCAGUGUACACCUCAGUGUAUUAAUUCUGUUUAGGUUUACAACAUGCUUAGUCAGAAACAAAACAAUCAUAGCUAUAGGUAUUGAAUUCAACUAUGAUCUGUUAAUCUUCCCUAUUGCUAUUGUUACGACCUCCAAGAACAUCAGUCAUCAAUUGUAUAAUGACUGUUCUGAGAUUACUCUUAUUAUGUGCUUCUUGGUUUUACUGCUGCAUAAUCAUGUAAUGACCCAAAGGGACACUUCUGCCAUUUAUGGAGAAAUCAUAAUUACUAGCCAAUGAGAUAAAAGAUUUUCAGAAAUUUGUUUCCUUUAACAGCUUUCAGGUUCCUCUUCACCAUCAUCCAUUCUAACUUAGGUCCCUCUUUGCGUUUCACCAUCUGAUUUUCAAUUUUAAUUACAAAUAUUUAAGAAGGGGCCAAGGAUAUAGCUCAGUGGCGCUGCACCUUCCUGGCAAAUGCAAGAUCCUGAGUUCCAUCCCCCGUACCAAAAAAAAAAAAAAAAAUUUAAGAAGGAGGGCCUCAAAUAGGUGGAUGUGAGGAGUAGACUGGAAUCAGAAAGAGUAAUUGUAAGGUAAUGGAUAACAGUGAUAGAUAGGUUCUGAAAUCACAAGAAAAUCUUUAGAGAAAUAGUAUCUCUUAAGAGAAAUGAUCUACUUUCUGGAAAAGUUAGUUUAUAGCUAAUACUAUUAGGAGAAAAUAUAUAGACUUUGUGUAUAAGUUUUUUUAAAUCACUGUUCCAAGUAGAAAGCAAAAUAAUUAAAAGAUGAUAGUAGUUCUGCUCACUAGAAGAUACUCCAGUGAAAAAGAGGUGCAGGCAUCUUAAUUUAUGCUCAUAGCCUCUGAUUUUUUCCUUAUGAGGCAGACUAACUUAAAUAAUGAAUACUUCCAUGCUAAAUUAAGGUAGUACUUGCUAUUUUCUUCUCUGAAUAUUCUGGCUUGGUUUAUGUUUGUACUUACCCUUCACCUUGUUUUUAUCUCACUACCUUCUACCCUGUGUUUCAGGGAAUAUUCAAAUACCAUAAAAUUAAUAUUUACAUCAUGGAUUACCACUUUCUGGAAACAAUGCUGAUCCUUGUAUUGUAUGGCUGGUCUGCCAUUCUCCUCACAUACCUGAUGAGCUUCCUGUUUUCUAAAAGUACUUCUGCAUGUAUCAAACUUGUCCUGUUCAACUACAUUUCAGGCACUUAUAGUAUCCUCCUAGAGCAAUUAUUAGAUAACAAAACUCCAGCUACAAUGUCUAAUGCCACCUAGACCUUGCUACGUAAUGCAUUACUGCUCUUUCCCAAUUACAACCUUGUGAAGUGCAUCAGUGACUAUACUGUUGUCUACAAAAUGAAGAUUCUGUGCACCCAGCAAAAUGUUCAUUACUUCCUAAAUUGUAGUAAAGAAAGCCUAGCCCUAGACAGUUACAAAUGCUACACCUGGCAGAUUUCUCAGAAGUCUGGACGUGGUACAUAACCGAUUUGCCUUUCCUGGAAUUUCAUACAAAUGGAAUCAUGUGGAUUUUUGUGUCAGGAUCCUGUCACUUUACAUAAUAUUCACGAGUGUUAUGGUACAAGUGAUCUCACUUGGCUUCUCCCCUUCAUAUCUGACAUCAAGCAAUGAAGUACAUAUAAAACUCACUUAGAUCCUACAUAGAACCAAGAGAAAAGUGAAGAGACAUUUUUUAUGCUCAAGUGGAAAUAUUCACGUUCAAGAGAAAAUAGAAUAAAUAUAUACUAAGGCUGCUCUGACGUCAGACUUUGGUCACUUCAUCAAGGUGUCAAAAACAACCUGCCAUUAUGAUUGAAGUCAUCUUAAACAUUUGAGUCAGACUGCAGCUCUUCGUGACUCAGAUGGGCGUGUCAGAUGGCGGACUGGGCGAGUACAGCUCCUCCCUCAAUGGCUGCCACGGAAACCUAGAACCUGGUCUGUGAAGUGCAGGGCUCUGCUGAGUAACACGCACCUGAGGUCCGCGUAACCCCAUUAAAAUCCUUUCCUCUGAAUUAUGGCUUCUCACUGACCCGAUGGGUUGCUUGCUAAUUGCACCCGGACCCAGUACCAGUCUGUUCUAUCCAAGCUAGAUAAACAGUGCUUCCUCCCUAACAGCCCUGUCUGGUGCCAUCAUGCCAGGUGUUCACUAGGCAGUAUCUCACUAGAUGCCUUCAAAGCACACCUGGGUCUCUAUCCCUCCCCACGAUUGUAUUCAAUCAAUAGUGGAUGCGCUUGGGCACCUUUGUCUUCGUUGCCAUCAGCAGCAUUGAUCAGGUCCCAAGACCCAACUUCUUUGCUCUAGGUCUCAUUUCCCAUCUGUUCUUUAAUCGCCUUGUGCUGUGGUGGCUUACAGGGCAGGACCCAUAGCAGAGGUCCUGGUAACGUCCCCUUCCCCAUUCCCUACAAGUUAUGUUUUGAUUUGUGGAUGUUACAACCUAAGAAUAAAGGGACAUUUUAAAUAGGUGAAGGUCUCUAAACAUAGGAAAGGUUGUGCACAUACAGGGAUGUGUGUGUUGGUCCCACUUGACCUGAACUGUUGGAUGACGAAGUUCCAAUGACUGGACUCUUAGGGGUCCAGAAGUUGGGAGGGAGGAGUUUAAAAGUACUAGAGGUAGCAGGGCAUGGUGCACAUCAACAAUCCUGGGAGGCCUAGACCAGAGGAUGGCAAGUUAAGAGACCAGCCUGGACAACUUAGUGACUUAGCUAUCCUCUGUCUCAAAAUUUUAAAAGAGCUGGGUUCAAUCCCUAGUAUGGGAAGCAAGGGGGAGAUCCUAGACAGAGCUUUGUAUAACAUAUUAACAAAUUUGAACUUUAUCCUGAAAAACAUGGAUAAGACACUGAAGUUGGCAAGAACCAGAGCAGUGUGCCCCAAAUUUUGUUCACUGGAUAGCACAUUCAUGAUUUGUGCCAUACCUCCAUAUCAUCAAUAGUUACUUAACCUUUUUUAAGUCAACACAUUUUAGUAAACGCAUUUAAAGAGGAAUUCAUUUACUAGGAUUGCUUACCAUAAUAAAAAAAAUGUAGUCAUUAAAAUGGAACGUUUAUUCAUGUACCAAUUUAUAAUCGUCUCAUGCAUCACUAGAGUAAGUCUACCACAUCGGGGAAACUACUGUGCAGUAUGGAUUGGGGAAACGGGGGUGGCUGAAGGCCCAGAAAUUGGGUUGGCGCAGGUUAUUGACUACAUCCGCUUGUUAGUCUGAGGCAGUCGUAAACAGUUCACACACAAGCCAAAGAAGGCACAAGUUUGCCUGUGCCUUGUAAUGUCUACACUACCGGCCUUUCGGAAACUUUAAUAUGCAUACGAAUCACAUCAAGCCUUAUAAAAACAUAGAUCCAGAUCAUAUAUGGGACUGGGAGAUGCUGUACUGUACUUCCAACAAACUCGCGAAGAUACUGAUGUUUUCCAACGUGCCAAUCAAAGCACAGGACUGUAAGUCCCGAGGGGCAGGGACCACACCUUCACCUUUAAUUUGGUACUGUGCCAGGCACAGGUCACCUUAGGUAACACCCACAGUCAACUCUCUCUCUCCCAUAUCAUCACAUGACAACCUUUCUCAAUAUGCAGGUUUCCGCUCAUUCGUCUCCUAUUAAAAACACAAAAACUAGUUUUGGGUCUUGUUUUCUUUAUAAGGCGAGCCUAGGAUGCAAAUCCCGAGAGCACAGACCUUCAUGAUGAUCACCUCAGGUUGAGGACCGACGUUAAAGUGUCCCUGGCCUGUUUUAGGGGAUACAAAGGCAACUAACGUCGCGCAAAGGCUCUUUCCUCACAGAACUAAUGAUCUAGCGAGGGGUUCAACAAGAAAGAAGCAAUCGCCGAGCUCCAUUGCCCAAGACCUCCGCAGAACGGAGGUUAGAAGAGAUGAGUCCUAAAAGUAGCCGCUAGCAAGUAGCCGGAAGUCCAGAGAGGGCCGG
Non-coding RNA from Heterocephalus glaber (naked mole-rat), 6993 nucleotides. Lineage: Eukaryota; Metazoa; Chordata; Mammalia; Rodentia; Bathyergidae. The record is from RefSeq and is a predicted model, not a curated record.